Molecule: ribosomal RNA, 849 nt
Filed under: uncultured bacterium
Lineage: Bacteria
Description: bacterial SSU rRNA
Rfam family: Bacterial small subunit ribosomal RNA
Source: RNAcentral
UUANCCGUUAAACUGCUUGGGAAACUGAUAAUCUAGAGUAAGGGAGAGGCAGAUGGAAUUCUNGGUGUAGGGGUAAAAUCCGUAGAUAUCAAGAAGAAUACCUAUUGCGAAGGCGNUCUGCUGGAACUUAACUGACGCUAAUGCGUGAAAGCGUGGGGAGCAAACAGGAUUAGAUACCCUGGUAGUNCACGCCCUAAACGAUGUAUACCGGUUGUUGCUGUGCUAGUCGCGGCAGUAUCCACCUAACGGAUUAAGUAUACCGCCUGGGGAGUACGGUCGCAAGAUUAAAACUCAAAGGAAUAGACGGGGACCCGCACAAGCGGUGGAGCAUGUGGUUUAAUUCGAAGAUACGCGAAGAACCUUACCCGGACUUGAUAUCUAACAAAUCAUCCAGAGAUGGAAGAGUGUCUGCUUGCAGAAAUGUUAAGACAGGUGCUGCACGGCUGUCGUCAGCUCGUGUCGUGAGAUGUUGGGUUAAGUCCCGCAACGAGCGCAACCCACGUCAUUAGUUGCUAACGGUUCGGCCGAGCACUCUAAUGAGACUGCCUUCGUGAGGAGGAGGAAGGUGUGGACGACGUCAAGUCAUCAUGGCCCUUAUGUCCGGGGCGACACACGUGCUACAAUGGCAUAUACAAUAAGACGCAAUAUCGUAAGAUGGAGCAAAUCUAAAAAAUAUGUCCCAGUUCGGAUUGGAGUCUGCAACUCGACUCCAUGAAGCCGGAAUCGCUAGUAAUCGUAGAUCAGCCAUGCUACGGUGAAUACGUUCCCGGGUCUUGUACUCACCGCCCGUCACACCAUGGGAGUUGAUUUCACUCGAAGCGGGAAUGCGAAAUUCGCUNCCCUCCACAG